This 398-nucleotide ribosomal RNA is filed under the name uncultured bacterium. RNAcentral's name for it is "bacterial SSU rRNA". It matches the Rfam family "Bacterial small subunit ribosomal RNA", at positions 28 to 419 of the family's 1533-position model. The record is from RNAcentral.
GACGAACGCUGGCGGUGUGCUUCACACAUGCAAGUCGAACGAGUGACUGCUUUGUAGCAAUACAAAGUAGAAGCUAGUGGCGGACGGGUGAGUAACGCGUAGGAAUCUGCCUUUGAGUGGGGGAUAGCAGACCGAAAGGUCUAUUAAUACCGCAUACGUAUAUACUUCGACAGUUGUAUAUAUAAAAAGAGCAAUCUGCUCAUAGAUGAGCCUGCGUCCGAUUAGCUAGUUGGUAGUGUAAUAGACUACCAAGGCGACGAUCGGUAGGUGGUCUGAGAGGAUGAUCACCCACAAUGGAACUAAGACACGGUCCAUACUCCUACGGAGGCAGCAGUGGGGAAUUUUGUGCAAUGGGGAAACCCUGACACAGCGACACCGCGUGAGCGAAGAAGCCCUUC